RNAcentral lists this long non-coding RNA (218 nucleotides) under Elaeis guineensis (African oil palm). Its description in RNAcentral is "long non-coding RNA (EGUI_LNC023917)". The record is from RNAcentral. Lineage: Eukaryota; Viridiplantae; Streptophyta; Magnoliopsida; Arecales; Arecaceae.
UAAUUAAGGAUUGACUGCAACAGUUAUCAAACAUUUUAGUCAUUCAUAUAAGGACACCCAACACUCCUAUAGUAAUGAAAACUCCUACUUAUGCUUUAACAAGUACUAUAAAUAAAUUAAAUUAAAUUAAAAUCAGCUUUAAAGCUCGAAGAAUCUCUCUCUCACUAUGGGAGCAUUCCAAAGCAAAUGAGGGCUGGCUGACUAGGGCUGAAAACAAU